GUUUCCUGGCUCUACCAGCUGCUGCUGCACCAGAGGGGCACACAGCGAGGACUCUGCCCCCUGUGUAUCCACCAAUGGGAUUGGAAGGACACAAGCACUGCAACCAGAAGGACAAAUGUGUGUGUAUGUCUCUUUCCCAGGCCUGACCAUCCAUGAGGCUGAAGACCUGUGGGUCUGGGACUGGCACCAGGACAGCAGGCUCCUGGGCUAUACGAACAUAGGCACGGUGCGGGAGGUUUUUGGACCCCUGUGGCUUUGCUUCAGCAAGUCUCCUUCUCGAGGUCUCUCUUGGAGGACUGAGAGAGUAUUAGGGUUCACAUACGUGAGCAUGAGGAGAACCUCUUUCGAGUUGUCUCCUUUUUCCUGAUUUUACUAGA
Molecule: long non-coding RNA, 377 nt
Organism: Chelonoidis abingdonii (Abingdon island giant tortoise)
Lineage: Eukaryota; Metazoa; Chordata; Testudines; Testudinidae
Source: RefSeq, a predicted model, not a curated record